GUGCCAGCAGCCGCGGUAAUACCAGCCCCGCGAGUGGUUGGGACGUUUACUAGGCCUAAAGCGCCUGUAGCCGGCCCUGUAAGUCCCUCCCUAAAGGCCCGGGCUCAACCCGGGAACCGGGAGGGAUACUGCAGGGCUAGGGGGCGGGAGAGGCGGGGGGUACUCCCGGAGUAGGGGCGAAAUCCGUAGAUCCCGGGAGGACCACCAGUGGCGAAGGCGCCCCGCUAGAACGCGCCCGACGGUGAGAGGCGAAAGCCGGGGCAGCAAAAGGGAUUAGAUACCCCUGUAGUCCCGGCUGUAAACGAUGCCGGCUAGGUGUCGCGUGGGCUUAGAGCCCACGCGGUGCCGCAGGGAAGCCGUUAAGCCGGCCGCCUGGGGAGUACGGCCGCAAGGCUGAAACUUAAAGGAAUAGGCGGGGGAGCACCACAAGGGGUGGAACCUGCGGCUCAAUUGGAGUCAACACCUGGAAGCUUACCGGGGGAGACCGCAGGAUGACGGCCAGGCUAACGACCUUGCCUGACUCGCGGAGAGGAGGUGCAUGGCCGUCGCCAGCUCGUGUUGCGAAAUGUCCGGUUAAGUCCGGCAACGAGCGAGACCCCCACCCCUAGUUGGUAUCCCGGUUUCCGAACCGGGACCACACUAGGGGGACUGCCGGCGUAAGCCGGAGGAAGGAGGGGGCCACGGCAGGUCAGUAUGCCCCGAAACCCCGGGGCUGCACGCGAGCUGCAAUGGCGGGGACAGCGGGAUCCGACCCCGAAAGGGGGAGGUAAUCCCGUAAACCCCGCCCCAGUAGGGAUCGAGGGCUGUAACUCGCCCUCGUGAACGUGGAAUCCCUAGUAACCGCGUGUCACCAACGCGCGGUGAAUACGUCCCUGCCCCUUGCACACACCGCCCGUC
RNAcentral lists this ribosomal RNA (897 nucleotides) under uncultured archaeon. Its description in RNAcentral is "SSU rRNA". It matches the Rfam family "Archaeal small subunit ribosomal RNA", at positions 455 to 1354 of the family's 1478-position model. The record is from RNAcentral.